UCCCUGAAGAACUAGUGGUUAGGCCUCAGCGCUCUCACCACCACGGCCCGAGUUCGAUUCCCGGCCAGGGAA
Pangasianodon gigas (Mekong giant catfish) is the source of this 72-nucleotide non-coding RNA. NCBI's taxonomy places the organism in Eukaryota, Metazoa, Chordata, Actinopteri, Siluriformes, Pangasiidae. The record is from the annotation of a GenBank genome assembly.